AUGGAUCGAGGUUGGGUGAGUCAACCAAGAGCUAGUGCUGCUUACAAAGAUGGUGUCGAGCAAUUUCUGUCUUUUGCAUUCCAUGAUGUUUCGGCUGGUGAUAGAAUUCUCUGUCCUUGUGUAAAUUGCCGAAAUAAAGCUAUGCAGAGUUAUGAUGGAGUGAAAACUCACUUGAGAUGUGAUGGUAUUCUUCAAGGUUACACUAAGUGGGUUUGCCAUGGAGAGGAUUACAGUGAACCAUCAUUUGCAUUUGCUCAUGUAUCAGAUAAUAGUGGCAAUUUUCUAUUCCUAGCAUCCCAAGGAAUGUUGUUGGAGAAGGCAACCAUGGAAGGAUGGAUGACAUGCCAGGACUCUUAA
This 357-nucleotide ribosomal RNA is filed under the name Triticum aestivum (bread wheat). RNAcentral describes it as "partial small subunit ribosomal RNA". The record is from RNAcentral. Lineage: Eukaryota; Viridiplantae; Streptophyta; Magnoliopsida; Poales; Poaceae.